This 468-nucleotide ribosomal RNA is filed under the name uncultured bacterium. RNAcentral describes it as "partial 16S ribosomal RNA". It matches the Rfam family "Bacterial small subunit ribosomal RNA", at positions 28 to 507 of the family's 1533-position model. The record is from RNAcentral.
GACGAACGCUGGCGGCGUGCUUAACACAUGCAAGUCGAACGGAAAGGCCCUGCUUUUGUGGGGUGCUCGAGUGGCGAACGGGUGAGUAACACGUGAGUAACCUGCCCUUGACUUUGGGAUAACUUCAGGAAACUGGGGCUAAUACCGGAUAGGAGCUCCUGCUGCAUGGUGGGGGUUGGAAAGUUUCGGCUGUUGGGGAUGGACUCGCGGCUUAUCAGCUUGUUGGUGGGGUAGUGGCUUACCAAGGCUUUGGCGGGUAGCCGGCCUGAGAGGGUGAACAGGCACAUUGCGACUGAGAUACGCCGCAGACUCCAACGGGAGGCAGCAGGGGGGAAUCUGACCCAAUGGGCGGAAGCGUGAUGCAGAAACGCUGCGUGCGGGAUGACGGCCUGUGGGUUGUGAAAAGCUUCCGCCUGUUACGAAGCGUGAGUGACGGUAAUGGAUAAAGAAGCACCGGCUAACUACGUG